This is a long non-coding RNA of Humulus lupulus (European hop), 2871 nucleotides long. RefSeq lists it as uncharacterized. The record is from RefSeq and is a predicted model, not a curated record. Lineage: Eukaryota; Viridiplantae; Streptophyta; Magnoliopsida; Rosales; Cannabaceae. The transcript is spliced from 7 exons.
UUAUUGAGGUGUAGAUUAAUUUUGGUUAGUAAUGAUUUUUUUUUAAUUUCUUGUGGUAUAAUAUACUUAGAUGUGAAAAAAUCUUGCUGGGAAAUGGAAGACUACUUUUAAUACUGCUUCAACGAGUAAGUGUCCUAAGAGAAAGCGUGGGAACACAUACAAUUCCAAUGACGAAAUCAGCGAUGAUGAUACUGACACUGAAAUUGAAGAUGAAGAUGAUUAUGGACCCGAGAAGAGGUUGAUUCGGGAGUACAGGUUGAAGACAACCUUAUUAUGACUAGAUGCUCGUUUAAAAGGGUAAGUAAUAUUGUGUGUAUGAUGUCUGAGGUGCGGAAAGCAAUGGUGAGAGUUGCUCGAUUUGGGGUAUUUCUCAGGGAUGAUUUCCCUAAUAUAUAAUCUCAGUGCAGUGGCUAAUUGAAAAUGUCGAUGUGGGUCGUAACGCUUUGAAUAUCUAUUGGAAGAGAUUGCACAUGUCUAAGAAGAUAUUCCAGUAGGUGAUGGAUGUACAUGAAGGCAAUGAAGAGGUUCAAUCUAAGUUGAGGACUCCAGUUUCAAAAUUGAAGUCUACUUGUCUUGGCAUAAAUAACCGUGUCGAACUAGUAGCUUUAGAAACACAGUUGGUUGAUUAUGAAGAAGCUGAUGAUUUUUUCUUAGUCGCUAUGGUUCUGAUCAUAGUUGAGAGCGUAUUGGUGCCGAGAUCUAUAGGCCAAUUGCGUACUAGACACAUAAAUGUUGUAGCUGACCCCGAAGAAAUUAGUUACAAAAAUUGGGCAACACAUAACUACCGUGAGAUUAUGAAUUCUAUUUCCAAGUACCAGGCUGGGAAAUUGACUCACAUAAUUUGAUGCACGACUUUCCUACAACUUAUGUAUAUGCACCAUAUUCAAGUGCCCAGGGUGUUUGUUCACCGGUCCAUUGCACCAAUACAUUAUUGGACUGAUGAAGCCUCUUAGAAUCUGAAGCCUUAUAUCAUGGCUGACGGUGGCUAUAGUGUCAUGAAAAGGAGUUGUGGAUGUGGCACUUCCUCGGGUGAGUGAAUUAUCGAGUGGGAUGGAACAUAACACAAUAACGCAAGAGAAAGUGACUAAACUUGGUCAUCAGUUGGAAGAAGUGAUUGGACUGUUUGUUGCUCUACCAAAGACUAUCAAGAGUAUGGUAUUGAGGGAGGAUAGUGGUUUGCAGGAGAAUCCACAACCAGAACCUUUUGAUGAAUUAAGAGGCGAGCCUAAGGGUGGAGAUGAAGGAGUGGAUGUCUACAAGGCAAACGAUGCAGCUAAGGAAGUCCCUGAAACUGUUGAUAUGACAUAGGUUGCAAUCAAAAGUACUUUUGUGGUUCCAGAUAGAAGCACUAUUAUUAAACUGCCCGAACCAAAAUUUUGGGGUAUUAAGGGAUAAAAGGAAUUAUGUUCAGGUGGUGGUGUAAUGGUAGGGCCUUUCAGACUCUCUACAUCAGUGACAUAAUAGAUGUACUAGUUGGCGGAGUACUACUACAAGCCCAUCCUUAGCGAUAUUAACUUAGAAGUGGAAUGUCACUGCAUUCGGUCAAUGCAGCCCGACCAAUGGAUUUGUGGGGAGGCAAGUGUUUUAUGUGGAUAAACUUGCUCUUUUUUUGUGAGCAUUUUUAUCAUUUGGGGACAUUUAUUUAAUUCACUUUGUUUUUGCAGUUAAUUACAUGCUACGCCAGAAUAUUGACAGUGGAAGAGAAAAAGAAAUUUGGACCUAGGGAACCCCAUAGAGUUUGGUUCGUGCUAGCUAGGAUUUCUAUGAGUUACAAUAUAAUUGUUUUGGAGACCUCGGUUAUUUUCUUUAUGUUCAGCUUUAGGCCUAUAUAUGUUGAAGUUGAUCAGGAUUCUUUAAAUUCUUUUUGUUUUUCAUAGGAAAAACAACUAAGUAAACACAACUGAAUUGGCCUUGCUACUUGUGACGGAAACUGGGUGAAGUAUCAUUUUGGGAAUUUUAAAUUUUGUUGCGAGAUGGUUGUGCCUGUUUUCGGUGACUCUUGUUAUCAGAGAAUCGACAUUGGUUCGUAGUUUGAGUCAAUCUCAAAAGGCACUCUUGUGAAAUUUUGGAUUCCAACCUUAGUGAUGAAACCACGCCAGAGCGAUUGGAGCAGACGACCGAGAUGUUGACUACCCAAGAUGAGUUAUUUGCAUUUGACAUUGCUGCCACAAGGGGAAGUGGUGAAUCUAUUAGGUUCUCUGAAUUUCAGAAGUCAUUUCAAGAGGGUCUACCCCAACAAACAAAUUUGAAUGACUGGUGUUUUCAUUAUGAAGUAUAUGGAGGCAAUCAUCCAGGGAAAAACCACUACCUACGAGUUCGGUGUGGAUCGUUAAAGAUAUAGGCUUGACAAUCGCAUUGUUCGCCAUGAACUCAAUAAAUUGUGGGAUAUAGUCAGGGUCGAAAGUGAUGACCAUUUUCAGUGUAAUAUUUUGGAGGACGGUGAUGAAACAGGGCUAUCAUUUGGUGAGAAAAAGACUACCGGUUGCAUGGAAUCCCUUGGCAGUCUCACUAGAGACAAGGCCAAUAGCCGCUUCUCGAACAAAAAGGCAAGAAGCAAGAAUAUGAUUAAUGUUGUUUCAUCACGAACAAGGAGUCGUAAGAAGUCUACUUUGAGGAAAAUGGAUGUCAGAAAAGCAAGAAAGGUUGAAUAUGUCCUAAUACUUGGUUUGCGGGUUUAGUUAUGUACCUUAAUUAGUCUACUUUUAUGAGCACAAGUCAUUUUGCAUUGUUUAUUGAACAAAAUGAUAACCGGACAACUACUUACUUUUGUGAACCUCCUAGCUUUGGGCCAUAUUUAUGAUGUUCAAGUUUUUAAAUUAUGGGACACCUAGUAGUUUAAUAUUUUGCUAGUUAGGGACGGUUAUAGUAAUA